This is a long non-coding RNA of Notolabrus celidotus (New Zealand spotty), 391 nucleotides long. RefSeq lists it as uncharacterized. The record is from RefSeq and is a predicted model, not a curated record. The transcript is spliced from 3 exons. Lineage: Eukaryota; Metazoa; Chordata; Actinopteri; Labriformes; Labridae.
GGGAGCUCCGGUCUGUGCCGCUGUGGACGCUGGGAAAACCCGGUGGAGAGACUGAGCCAGGACGCACAAUACCACGAAGAAUCCCGAAGAGGUCACAUAACCUGUGGCGUCGGGAGGAGAGAGAGGGAAAGGUAGAGGAGAAAAAGGAGGAAGAAUUGAGCACAGCUGGGGGAUUAAAGAAGAAGAAGGAUAAGGAAACGCAGAAGAAGUGAUAACGAGGAAAAUGGUUGAAAUAGAUGUCACGACGACGCGGGAAAGGAGAGGAGGAUUCACGAGCUACAGAAGACCACACACAAGACCCCUUCUGCCAGGAGAGAGAGACAGACAGAGGAGGAGGAGAAGAAGACGUCUUGGAAGACACUUGGAAACCCCCCCACCCCUACUCCCCCCU